CGCAAUGGGCGCAAGCCUGACGGAGCAACGCCGCGUGAGUGAAGAAGGGUUUCGGCUCGUAAAGCUCUGUUGUCGGGGACGAAUGUGGAGAUGGUGAAUAACCAUUUCCAAUGACGGUACCUGACGAGGAAGCCACGGCUAACUACGUGCCAGCAG
This 156-nucleotide ribosomal RNA is filed under the name uncultured Bacillota bacterium. Its description in RNAcentral is "uncultured Firmicutes bacterium partial 16S ribosomal RNA". It matches the Rfam family "Bacterial small subunit ribosomal RNA", at positions 367 to 514 of the family's 1533-position model. Lineage: Bacteria; Bacillati; Bacillota. The record is from RNAcentral.